RNAcentral lists this long non-coding RNA (10171 nucleotides) under Vigna radiata. RNAcentral's name for it is "long non-coding RNA (VRAD_LNC007453)". Lineage: Eukaryota; Viridiplantae; Streptophyta; Magnoliopsida; Fabales; Fabaceae. The record is from RNAcentral.
UAGAAAUACAUCAAUUCCUAACCAAAUCAAACAAAAAUGAAAAAUAAUGAAUGGAAAGGAUUUGAGCAAACCAUCAAAUCAAAGAGUAAAGCCCAACAGAACUUGUCAACCAUGCUCAUCCCACAAUUUCUUUUAUAAACCUAUCACACAUAAAAAAGAAACAGACAUAUCCACCUCAAAUGUCAGUUUGUAACAGUACUCUCGUAGUGACAGUUAAAACCAAGAUCAGAAUCAAACAAACAAGUUUAGCCAGUUAAAAAUUUAUCCAGAAAAAACUUCUCUUCCAGUAAAUGAAACCCUCAGCGUCACAAUGAACAGAUUGCACACCUACACCAUAACAGGCUCGAAGAUCAUAACCUUCAAUGAUCAAGUAUUGCUCUUGCAUGGACAAACACGGAAUGAUACAUGUACCUUCUAGUACUAAUACGAGACACUGGACCGUUCCAAAUCAACCACAUAAGAAUAAUAUUGAAACGAGAGUGACUACAACCAUUCCAAAUAAUAAUCUACCGCCAUGUCCCCCACAAACAACAGACAUCCAUAGCAAGCAAGUUUUCACUGCAAAUGCCAAAGCCUCUCAUACUCAUAUAGUGCCUGUUUACAGGAACUCCCACUCCAAAUGUUUAGCCAGAAAAAUAAUUGCGAAGAAAAUAAAGAAUGCUAAGACAAUAGAACCUAAGGUUUCCCUGGAUAUCCAACCACUGCUUCUCAAACCUUCCCACCAACCACCAUUUGCACACCCCACACCAACUUCAUUUUAGUUUCACUGUAAAGCCCUUGCAUAGAAAAAAAAUAUAUAAUCAAUCUGGGUAGAAGAUGAAGGAGGUAAUCAAUAAGAUAAAAACACAUUCAGGAAUUAGAAUUCUAAAGGAGAAAUUUCCAAAACAGGCUUGAUGAUCAUAAUGUUCAGCAUUAUUGAUCUUGCACCAUAGCCGGAACAUGUAACUUUCUACAACCAAUAGAUUAAAGCCCUUCCAACUCAAGCAGACAAAAAAAGAAUAGUAAAUGAGAACAUAAUAAAACAUGAAGCUUUGUAGUAAGUUAAAUAAUCUAAAUCCACUGCAUCCAGAUAUUUUAGACAUCUUCACUGCAAAAUGAAUCGAAGAGCAUAGUCAAAAUCAACAGCCAACUGUCAAGAUUGGGUAGAAGAUGAAGGACCAAGACCCCAUUCAAUUCAAAAAAUUCGGAUAGAAGCUGAAAGAUCCAAAACCAUAAAGAUCAAUAAAAAGAUUGAGGAACCAAAAUACUAAUUGAGAAAAUUCCACAGUAAGCACGAUCAUCAAAAGGUUCUGACCAUAACAGAUUCUCUAACCAUAAUUGUCCAGUGAACAUGUACCUUCCUACAACUAAUAAGAGAGACUAAAGUCACUUGAGAAGACAAGAAAAAUAGUAGACGAGAAUAUAAUAAAACAUGAAGUUUUGCAGUUCAACAGAGUCAACUGUCCAACAAGCCAACACCCAUUCCACAAGUUUAGUUUGAAAAUUAAGGGCAAGGAAAAUAAUGUAAGCAGAGAUAAUAAAACAAAGGGGGGUUUCACUGGAACUCCAUCCAUUGUUACAAUCCACUGUUUCCGAAGUUGCCCACCACCCACCAUUUGCACACCCUGAACCCACUUCAAUUCUUAGUUUUCUUGUAAGGCCCAUUUAUUAACUAUAAUUAAUCGACCUAGAUCAUAAGAAAAUAAUAAAAUAUCAAAAAGCAAUCGAGAAAUUUCCAAAACAAGCUCGAUCUUCAUAAUGAUCCCACCAUCAAUUAUUGCUCUUGCAUAGACAAACACCAUGGCCAAAACAUGUACCUCCCUACUACCAACAAGAGAGACUACAGCCAAUCCAACUUGAGCAGACAAGAAAAAUAGUAUAUAAGAAGGUAAUAAAACAUACUGCAUCAAUCCACUAUCCUCUUAACUGCAAGAUGAGUAAAAGAAGAUAAUCAAAACCAACAGCCAACUGGCUAACAACACAAAUGCCAAAACCUGUCACUCAUAAAGUAUCUACUUUUAAGAUCUCCCACUACACAAAUUUAGUUUGAAGGAUAACGGCAAUGAACAUAAUGAAUUCAAAAAUAAUAAAACCUAAGGUUCACCAAAUUUCCAUACGGUUACCGGAACCUCGCCACCACCCACCAAUUGCACAUCCUGCACGCAUUUCAUUUCUUAGUUUCCGUGUAAAGCCCAUCAAUUCAUGAAAACAAUAAUCAAAUUUGGUAGAAGAUGAAGGACCAAGACCCCAUCCAUUCAAGAAAUUUGGAUAGAAGAUGAAAGACCCAAAACGAUAAGAUCAAUAAACAAAUUCAGGAACCGAAAUACUAAUUGAAAAAAUUCCAUAAUAGGCUCGAUCAUCAUACUUUGAUCAAGUAUUGCUCAAGUUUAGACAAACACCAUGACUGACACAUGUACCUUCCUACAACCAAUUCGUUUUCAUGUAAAGCCCAUGUAUUCAAUAAAACUAAAAUUAAUCUGGAUAAAAGAUGAGAGACCUAGAAGAUAAGAUGAAUAAACAAAUUCAGGAAUUAAAAAACCAAUGGAGAAAUUUCCAUAAGAGAUUCUCUGACCAUAAUGGUCCAGUGAACAUGUAGCUUCCUACAACCAAUAAGAGACUAAAGCCACUUGAACAUACAAGAAAAAUAGUAGAUGAGAAUAUAAUAGAACAAAGUUUUACAGUAAGUUAAAUAAUCUACACCUACUGCAUUCACGAUCCAAUAGCCAUCUUCACUGCAUGAGUAGAAGAAGAUAAUCAAAAUCAAUAGAGUCAACUGUCCAACAACCCAACACCCAUUCCACAAGUUUAGUUUCAAAAAUAAGGGCAAGGAAAAUAAUGUGUAAGCAGAGAUAAUAAAACAAAGGGUUUCACCGGAACUCCAUCCAUUGUUUCCGAAGUUGCCCACCACCCACCAUUUGCACACCCUGCACCCACUUUAAUUCUUAGUUUUCUUGUAAGGCCCAUCUAUUAACUAUGAUUAAUAGACCUAGAUCAAAAGAAAAUAAUAAAAUAUAAAAAGCAAUGGAGAAAUUUUUAAAACAAGCAUUAUUGCUCUUGCAUCCCAUCAUAAUGAUUCCACAAUCAUUAUUGCUCUUGCCUACACAAACACCGUGGCCAAAACAUGUACCUUUACAACCAACAAGAAAGUAAAAAACCAAUCCAAAUUGAACAGACAAGAAAAAUAGUAUAUGAGAACAGUAUAUGAGAACAUAAUAAAACAUACUGCAUCAAUCCACUAUCCUCUUAACUGCAAGAUGAGUAGAAGAAGAUAAUCAAAACCAACAGCCAACUGUCCAACAUCACAAAUCCCAAAACCUGUCACUCAUAAAGUAUCUACUUUUAAUAUCUCCCACUCCACAAGUUCAGUUUGAAGGAUAACGUCAAUGAACAUAAUGAAUUAAAAAAUAAUAAAACCUAAGGUUCACCAGAUUUCCAUCCACCGUUACCAAAACUUGCCCACUACCCACCAAUUGCAAAUCCUGCACCACCACCCACCAAGUGCAAAUCCUGCACACAUUUCAUUUCUUAGUUUCCGUGUAAAGCCCAUCAAGUCAGGAAAACAAUCAUCAAAUUUGGUAGAAGAUGAAGGACCAAGACCCCAUCCAUUCAAGAAAUUUGGAAAGAAGAUAGAAGACCCAUAACCAGAAGAUCAAUAAACAAAUUCAGGAGCCGAAAUACUAAUUGAGGAAACUCCAUAGUAGGCUCGAUCAUCAUAAGGUUCAGCGAUCAAGUAUUGCUCAAGCUUAGACAAGCACCAUGGCUGACACAUGUACCUUCCUACAACCAAUACCUUUUCAUGAAAAGCCCGUGUAUUCAAUAAAACUAAAAUUAAUCUGGGUAAAAGAUGAGGAACCUAGAAGAUAAGAUAAAUAAACAAAUACAAUAAUUAAAAAAGCAAUUGAGAAAUUUUCAUUACAGAUUCUCUGACCGUAAUUGUCCAAUGAACAUGUACCUUUCUACAAGUAAUAAGACAUACUAAAGCCACUUGAGCAGACAAGAAAAAUAGUAAAUGAGAAUAUAAUAAAACAUAAAGUUUUGCAGUAAGUUAAAUAAUCUACACCUACUGCAUGCACGAUCCAAUAGACAUCUUCACUGCAUGAGGAGUAAAAGAAGAUAAUCAACAGAGUCAACUGCACAACAAACCAACACCCCAUUCCAUAAGUUUUGUUUGAAAAAUAAGGGCAAGGAAAAUAGUGAACACAUUGAUAAUAAAAUAAAGGGUUUCACCAGAACUCCAUCCAUUGUUACCAUCCACUGUUUCAGAACUUGCCCACCACCCACCAUUUCCACACCUUGCACCCAAUUAAAUUCUUAGUUUUCUCGUAAGGUCCAUUCCACCUAGAUCAUCAUCAUAAUGAUAUCCCGCAAUCAAUUAUUGCCUUAGCAUAGACAAACACCAUGGCCGAAACAUGUACCUCCCUACAACACACAAGAGAGACUAAAGCCAAUCCAACUUGAACAAGACAAGAAAAAUAGUAUAUGAGAACGUAAUAAAAGAAACUGCAUCGAUCCAAUACCCUCUUAAACUGCAACAUGAGUAGAAGUUAAUCAAAAUCAACAGCCAACAGUCUAAUAACAAAAAUGUCAAACCUUGUCACUCAUAAAGUAUCUACUUUUAAGAUCUCCCACUCCACGCAUUUAUUUGAAGAAUAACCGCAAUGAACAUAAUGAAUUCAAAAAUAAUAAAACCUAAGGUUCACCAGAUUUCCAUCCACGUUACCAAACCUGCCCACCACCCACCAUUUGCACACCCUGCACACAUUUCAUUUCUUAGUUUCUGUGUAAAGCCCAUGAAUUCAAAAAAACAAUAAUCAAUUUGGGUAGAAAAUGAAACACCAAGACCCCAUCCAUUCAAGAAAUUUGGGAAGAAGAUGAAAGACCCAAGACCAUAUGAUGAAUAAACAAAUUCAGGAACCAAAAUACAGAUUGAGAAGCAUCCAUAGUAGGNUCGAUCAGCAUANGGUUNGACAAUCAAGUGUUGCUCAUGCUCAGACAAACACCAUGACUGACACAUGUACCUUCCUACAACCAAUACAUUUUCAUGUAAAGUCCAUUUUUUCAAUAAAACUAUAAUUCAACUGGGUAAAAGAUGAAGGACCAAGAUGAUAAGAUGAAUAAACAAUUUCGGGAAUUAAAAAACCAAUGGAGAAAUUUCAAUAACAGAUUCUUUGACCAUAAUUUUCCAGUUAACAUGUACCCUCCUACAACCAAUAAGAGAGAUUAAAGCCACUUGAGCGGACUAGAAAAAUAGUAAAUGAGAAUGUAAUGAAACAUAGAGUUUUGCAUUAAGUUAAAUAAUAUACACUUACUGCAAGCCAAUAGACAUCCUCUUCAGUGCAAGAGGAGUGGAAGAAGCUAAACAAAAUCAAUAGAUUCAACUGUCCAACAACCCAUAUGCCAAAGCCUCUCACUCAUAGAGUGCCUACUUCCAUGAUCUCUCACUCCAAAAGUUAGACCCAAAAGUCAAAGCCUCUCACUCAUAGACUGCCUACUUUAAUGAUCUCCCACUCCAAAAGUUAGACCCAAAUGUCAAAGCCUCAAACACACUUCAUUUACUUCAAGCAUCUCCCAUUCCACAAGCUUAGGCUGAAUAAUAACGGAAAUGAAAAUAAUGAAUGCAAAUAUAAUAGAACAAAGGCCUUCACACCAGAACGCCAUCCACUGUUGUGCCAAGCACCCACAAUUUGCACACCCUGCACCCACUUCAUUUCCCAUCAAUUCAAGAAAACUAUAAUUAAUUUGGAUAGAAUAUGAAGUACCUAGACGGUAAGAUAAAUAGACAAAUACAAAAUUAAAAAAUGCAAUGGAGAAAUUUCCAAAACCGGCUCAAUCAACUUAACAGCGAUCAAUCAUUGCUCUAGCACAGACAAACAGCGUGGCAACAUGUAACCCGAAACAUCUACCUACCUAUAACCAAUAAGAGAGACUAAAGUCAUUCCAAUUCGAGCAGGCAAGAAAAAUAGUACAUGAGAAUGAAAGGAAACANAAAGCUCUCUAGUAAGUUCAAUAACCUACUGCAUACUCGAUCCAAGAGACAUCCUCUUCAUUGCAACAUGAGUAGAACAUUAAUCAAAAUCAACGGCCAAUGGUCCAAGUCUGCCACUCAUAGAGCAUGUACUUUCAAGUUUAGUUUGAAGAAUAACGGCAAUGAAAAUAAUGAAUUCAAAAAUAACAAAACUUAAGGUUAACCAGAUUUCUAUCCACCAUUACCGAAACCUGUCCACCACCCACCAUUUGCACACCCUGCACACAUUUCAUUUCUAAGUUUCCGUGUAAAGCCCAUCAAUUCAAGAAAACAAUAAUCAAUUUGAGUAGAAAAUGAAGGACCAAGACCCGUCCAUUCAAGAAAAUUUGGUAGAGGAUGAAAGACCCAAGACAAUAAGAUGAAUAAACAAAUUCAGGAACCAAAAUACUAAUUGAGAAACUUUGAUAGUAGGCUCGGUCAUCGUAAGGCUCAGCUAUCAAAUAUUACUCAUGCUUAGACAAACACCAUGGCUGACACAAGUACCUCCUACAACCAAUACAUUUUCAUGUAAAGUCAACGUAUUCAAUAAAACUAUAAUUAUUCUGGGUAGAAGAUGAAGGACCUAGACGAUAACAUGAAUAAAAAAAUUCAGGAAUGGAGAAAUUUCCAUUACAGAUUCUCUGACCGUAAUUGUCCACUGAACAUGUACCUUCCUAGAAGUAAUAAGAUAGACUAAAGCCACUUGAGCAGACUAGAAAAAUAGUAAAUGAGAAUGUAAUCAAACAAAGCUUUGCAGUAAGUUAAAUAAUCUACACCUACUGCAUGCNCGAUCCAAUAGAAAUAAAUCCCCUUUACUCCAAGAGGAGGAGUAGAAAAAGACAAUCAAAAUCAACAAGUAAACUGUUCAACAACCCAAAUGUCAAAGCCUCUCACUUAGGGUGUGUUCACUUGGGUGAUAGGAGGUGAUUGGGGGAGAGUAAUUAAGGGGAUUUGAGGAUAAUAUUUUUUGUUGUUUAUUUGAGUGAAUUUGAAGGUAAAUGAAAAUGAAUUUUGGUGUAAAUUUUUUUAAUUUGUCAUAUAAACUAAAUCGUACACCAAUUCUCACAAACUUUAUUUCAAAAUUCACUCUUGUUUAUCUCCAAAUUCACUCAAAUAAACAACAAAAAAAAAUUAUCCUCAAAUCCACUCAAUCACUCUCCUCCAAUCAAUCUCCUCCAAUCACCCUCAAGUGAACACACCCUUAGAAUGCCUACUUUCAAGAUCUCCCAUUCCACAAAUUAGUUUGAAAGUAACNCAAAUAAAACUGAUGAAUGCAAAGAUAAUAAAACAAAGGGUUUCACCAAGCUCCUUCCAUUGUGACCAUCUCCGAAGUUGUCCACCGUUUGCAUACCCUGCACCCACUUCAUUUCUAAGUUUUCUUGUAAAGCCCAUCCAUUAACUAUAAUUAACGUGGGUAGAAGAUGAAAGACCUAUAUGAAAAGAUAAAUAAACAAAUACAAUAAUUAAAAAAGUAAUUGAGAAAGUAAUUGUCCAGUGAACAUGUACCUUCCUACAAGUAAUAAGACUGACUAAAGCCACUUGAGUAGACAAGAAAAAUAGUAUAUGAGAAUAUAAUAAAACAAAGUUUUGCAGUAAGUUAAAUAAUCUACUCCUACAGCAUGCACGAUCCAAUAGACAUCUUCACUGCAUGAAGAUAAUCAACAGAGUCAACUGUCCAACAACCCAACACCCAUUCCACAAGUUUAGUUUGAAAAAUAAGGGCAAGGAAAAUAAUGUUAGCACAGAUAAUAAAACAAAGGGUUUCACCGGACCUCCAUCCAUUGUUACAAUUCACUGUUUCCGAAGUUGCCCACCACCCACCAUUUGCACACCCUGCACCCACUUCAAUUCUUAGUUUUCUUGUAAGGCCCAUCAAUUAACUAUAAUUAAGUGACCUAGAUGAUAAGAAAAUAAUAAAAUACAAAAAGCAAUCCAGAAAUUUCCAAAACAAACUCGAUCAUUAUAAUGAUCAUCAUAAUGAUCCCACUGUCAAUUAUUGCUCUUACAUAGACAAACACCAUGGCCGAAACAUGUACCUCCCUACAACCAACAAGAGAUACUAAAGCCAAUCCAUCUUAAACAGACAAGAAAAAUAGUACAUGAGAAUGACAAAAGACAUAAAGCUCUGUAGUAAGUUAACCUACAACUACUGCAGCCACGAUCCAAAAGACAUCCUCUUAACUGUGACAUGAGUAGAAGAAGAUUAAUCAAAAUCAACAUCCAACAGUCUAACAAACAAAUGUCAAAGCAUGUAACGCAUAAAGUAUCUACUUUUAAGAUCUCCCACUCCACAAGUUUAGUUUGAAGAAUAACGGCAAUGAACAUAAUGAAUUCAAAAAUAAUUAAACCUAGGGUUCACCAGAUUUCCAUCCACCGUUACCAAAACCAGCCCACCACCCACCAUUUGCACACCCUGCACACAUUGCAUUUCUUAGUUUGCAUGUAAAGCCCAUCAAUUCAAGAAAACAAUAAUCAAUUUGGGUAGAAGAUGAAUGACGAAGAUAAUAAGAUGAUAAACAAAUUGAAGAAUUGGAAAACCAAUGGGAAAAUUUCCAUAUCAGGAUAGUUGACCAUAAUGUCCGGUGAUCAAGUAUUGCUCUUGUUUAAAGAAACACCAUGGCCAAAACAUGUAUCUUCCUACAACCAAUAAGAGAGACUAAAGCCACUCAAAUAGACAAGAAAAAUAGUAAAUGAGAACGUGAUAAAACAAAGGGUUUCACCAGAACUCCAUACCCAUCCACUGUUACUGAACCAGUUGAACCAGUCAACCACUCACCAUUUGAACACCCUGCACCAACCUCAUUUCUUAGUUUUCCUAUAAAGCCCAUAAUACAAGAAAACUACAAUCAAUAUGGGUUAGAAGACAAAGGACCUAGAUGAUAAGAUGAAUAAACAAAUACAACAAUUAAAAACCAAUGGAGAAAUUUCCAUUAGAGGCUCUUGCUUAGACAAAGACAAUGGCUGACACAUGUACCUUCCUACAACCAAUAAGAGAGACAACAACAAAAUUCCAACUCAAGCACAUAAAGCAAAUGGAAACAUAAUAAAACUUAAAGCUUGAUCGUAAGUUAAAUAAUACACAGUUAUUGGCUCUACGAUCCAAUAGACAUCUUCACUGUAAACCAACAGAGUCAACGUCCAACAACACAAAUGUCAGCCUCUCACUCCUACGAUGCGUAUUUAGAAGAUCUCCUACUCCACAAGUUUAGCUUGAAGAAUAAUGGCUAUGAAAAAUAUGAAUGCAAAGAUAAUAAUAUCCAAGGUUUCACCGGAUCCAUUGCUUUUGAAAGCUGCGCAAAACCCAACAACCACCACCCACCAUUUGCAAAUAUUGCUCUUGCAAUGGCUGACAAGUGUACCUUCCUACAACCAAUAAGAGAGAGAACAACAAUUCUAACUCGAACACAAAGUAAAUAGAAACGUAAUAAAACAGAAAGCUUUGUAGUAAGUAUAAAACAAAGCUUUGUAGUGAGUUAAAUAAUCUACCGCUUUUGGCUGUACGAUCCAAUAGACAAGACUAGAAGAAGAAGAUAAUCAACACAACAGAGUCAAUGAUCCAACAACACAAAUGUCAAAGCCUCUCACUCGUACAUCGCCUAUUUAGAGGAUCUCCCACUCCACGUGUUUAGCUUAAAAAAUAAUGGCAAAGAAAAAUAUGAAGGCCAAGAUAAUACAAUCCAAGGUUUCUCCGCAUCCUUCCCAAACCUGCCCCCACCACCCACCAUUUGCACGUACUUCAUUUCUAAGGUUCCCUGUAAAGCCCAUGAAUUCAAGGAAACUUUAAUUAAUAUGGGUAGAAGAUGAAGAACCUAGACGACAAGAUGAUACUUUCAGCGAUCAAGUAUUGCUCUUGCUUAGAGAAACACAAUGGCUGACACACGUAAAACCUACAACCAUUAAAAGGCUACAGUGAUUCCAACUGAAGCACAUAAGAAAAAUAGUAAAUGGAAACUUAAUAAAAUAUAAAGCUUUAUAGUAAGUUCAAUAAUCUAAUGAUAUUGCCUCCACGACCAAUAGACAUCCUUUUCGCUGCAAAAAGACUGGAAGAAGACAAUCAAAAUUAGCAGAGAACAGUCCAGUAACACAAGUGCCAAAGCCUCUCACUCAUAUAGCACCUAUUCACAAAAUGUUCAACUCCACAAGUUUUAGCCAGGAGAAUAACGGCAAAGAAAAUAACAAAUGCAACNN